This 797-nucleotide ribosomal RNA is filed under the name uncultured Verrucomicrobiota bacterium. RNAcentral's name for it is "bacterial SSU rRNA". It matches the Rfam family "Bacterial small subunit ribosomal RNA", at positions 8 to 796 of the family's 1533-position model. The record is from RNAcentral. Lineage: Bacteria; Pseudomonadati; Verrucomicrobiota.
AGAGUUUGAUCAUGGCUCAGGACGAACGCUGACGGUGUGCUUUAGACAUGCAAGUCGAACGAGAAAGCCCUUCGGGGUGAGUAAAGUGGCGAACGGGUGAGUAACACGUGGGCAAUCUGCCCCUCGCAGGGGGACAACCGGGGGAAACCCCGGCUAAUACCCCGUAAGCUCGAAAGGCCGCAUGGCCCUUCGAGGAAAGGUAGCUUCGGCCAUCCGGCGAGGGAUGAGCCCGCGGUGCAUUAGCUAGUUGGUGGGGUAACGGCCCACCAAGGCGAUGACGGGUAGCUGGUCUGAGAGGACGACCAGCCACACUGGAACUGAGACACGGUCCAGACACCUACGGGUGGCAGCAGUCGAGAAUUUUUCUCAAUGGGGGAAACCCUGAAGGAGCGACGCCGCGUGGAGGAUGAAGGUCUUCGGAUUGUAAACUCCUGUCAUCAGAGAACAAUGGCUGCAUUAACCGUGCAGCUUGAUAGUACCUGAAGAGGAAGAGACGGCUAACUCUGUGCCAGCAGCCGCGGUAAUACAGAGGUCUCAAGCGUUGUUCGGAUUUAUUGGGCGUAAAGGGUGCGUAGGCGGCGGGGUAAGUGAGGUGUGAAAUCCCGGAGCUCAACUCUGGAACUGCACUUUAUACUGCUCUGCUAGAGUCCGGUAGGGGACCACGGAAUUCCUGGUGUAGCGGUGAAAUGCGCAGAUAUCAGGAGGAACACCGGUGGCGAAGGCGGUGGUCUGGGCCGGCACUGACGCUGAGGAGCGAAAGCGUGGGUAGCAAACAGGAUUAGAUACCCCAGUAGUCC